UUGGCCUCCCUGAUUCCACCAAUUUUAAAACAAAAACCUCCAUUUUGUUCGAUUUGAAAUAGCAGCUGAGAGAUGGAGGUUGAUUCUUCUGCAUUUGAACCGCAAGUUACCGCUCUCGAUGUGACCGAAGCAGUUCGCCUACUAAAUGUGGUGACGAUCAUUUGUGGAAACGAACACUGCGAUAUUAACAAGCUGCUAGAACGUUUGGAAUCGUCGACUUUCAAUGAAGACAUCAGGCCGAUGGCAACUCGAGCUGAAUGUGUCGAGAUACUAUCGUCGUCGCCACACUUUACGCAAACUGUCAAUUUGGCAGUCACCCACAUAACCGAGUCCGUGACUCGAUCAAUAACGGACCUCAUCAACGACCAACGAGAUAACACCAACGAAACCUGUCAAAGCAUCACCCAGAACUGCGACACCCUUCGUAACUACUUCAAAGCCUUAGAUCAUAUAUAUUUUCAAACGGUAAGCACAAGUACUCCGUUUCAAUUUUCCACGAGAGAAACAGCUGUAAGCGGUUUUCUGGUGGGCCUGGUGAAAUUAUUACGCGAAUCCGAUUUUUCAAUUUUGCCAAACAUACCUGUCUUGACCACAGUCAGUCAAAUCGUGAAACUAUUUAAAGACAUUGCCUUCAUACGGCCCGUGGUUCUGACCGAGCUGUGUACGAGUCUGGAAAUAAUGAAGGGGACAAUUUUGGCGCACGAACAGUGUUUUUUAUUCGAAAUCGGAUUUUACGAGAAACUUCUCCAGACUUUAUUCAUUUUGAAAGAUCUCUUGUCGUUUUGUGUGCAAAUGGGCGAUAUUUAUCAUUCUGAUUUGUAUCAAUUGGACAGCAGUACGUUGGCAGCCGUACAAAAAUCAUUGGAAGAAGUAGUUGAGAGUGUGCCCACGUAUUUAGUGCGAGAAAUUCAGGAAUGUAUAAAUUUAGUAAUUCCAUAAUUCUUUGCUAUAUACAGAUAUGAAAAGUCUGUAAUAAGCUAGUCCCCCCUUUCAAAAGAACACGUUUCACCAGAAAAAUAAACAAAAUUUACUGUUACUCGAAAGGAAACACAUUGAACCCUUGGUUGAUUGAAAAACGGUUGUUUUUGGACCCCCCCUUUCUCACAUUGCUUACGCACUGUCCGGUAGAGGUCACGAGAUGGAAAAGGAACAGAUACAGUUUACAAUUAGAACUGUAUUAGCUACUCACAACUGAAUACAUGCAUACGAUACAAAAGAAAAACAAAUUCUGUAUGCUAGGUAGCUAAUUGGGCGAAGUUCGACUGCAGUAUCAACAGAAACUGCAUUCGCUCUUCCACUUUUAGCGUAAUCCCGCUUCUACAAGAUAGGUAACCCGCCCCUGGUUUCGGUGUUUCGAGCCUACAGUUGAAAGUCGAAGACAAUCACGGAAUUAGGUGUCGUAGCUCA
This is an RNA transcript of Photinus pyralis (common eastern firefly), 1407 nucleotides long. RefSeq lists it as uncharacterized. The transcript is spliced from 4 exons. The record is from RefSeq and is a predicted model, not a curated record. Lineage: Eukaryota; Metazoa; Arthropoda; Insecta; Coleoptera; Lampyridae.